CCAGACUUUCCACUUUUUUUGCACCUGCAUUCCUAGAUGAGAACAGCUGAAAGAAGACGGGCCCAACAGACAAUCUCCUGUCCGUCUAGUUGCUACAAAAAGAAUGGUAAAUAAUUAGAACCCUAGGAAUUAAAACUUUACAGCCAGGUUUAGGAUAAAAUAGUUCAAUUUUAUUAAAAUUUCAAUCACUCCAAAAGCAAACUUUUGUAGGGGUAAGGGAGAGACGGAGGUUUGGAAGGACUUUAUAAACAUUAUCUUAGGACUUUGUAUAACUUCUUACCAUUUUCGAAGCAGUUUCAUAUACCUUAUCUAAUUUGAAUCUCAUAAUAAGCCAAUAAGAUGGAAAGCAGGUAAAUGAGUCACAGAAUCGUUAUUAACAUUUGAAGACCUAUAAGCCAUUACUAGCCUUUUAAACAGCAGAACAGAAGCUGCACCUUUCCUCAAGAUAAAAUUAACUAAAAUAUCACAUUUCUUCUCUUUUGACUGCAAUUGGUUAACAAAUAAGUGGUUCAGGCUGGUUGAGAACAAAGUUCUGCCUUUUAUCCAGAACUUAUUAUUUCUUUCUCAUAUUUAUAUUAGACGAUAACAACACAAAGCAAUAAAACAUUGAAAUAAAUUUUAAAUUACUACUAAAAAUCAGCAAUGAUUUUCAUUUUGUAGAUUACCUUCCAGUUGGCCUACAUGCUGGGUUUUCAUGGCUGUAUUUUGCUUUGCCCACUUUUCUUUCUAAAAUAUCAUAGUCUCUCCUACUAUUAUCCCCAAUUUACAAACAAGGUAACAGAUUAAAUGAUCUUUCCAAAGUCGUGCACAGAGUCAGAAAAUGACAGGACUGGCACUAGCCUAGAUCUUUUUGCAUUUCAUUCUGGAACUCUUCCUACUACACCAUACUAACUCACAAAGGAAAAGAUGUCCCAAUUAAAGAAAAAUCCACAAAAAUCUAAACUUAAGAAAUAGAUCAAUUAAGAUGUGAUCUUUUAGUUUACAGAAAGAUUUACCACCGUAGGAGUCUCAUAAAUGUUGAAAAUUCCCCUUCUGCAUAAUUAGACCCAGUCUCUAGCCUCAAGGAGCUCAUAUAUCAUUUACAAUUUGUCAGGCAUCUUAGAGAAGAAUGUAUAUUUAGAAGUAAAGGAUUUGGGUCAAUAUCAAAUCAAUCAGAAAGGAAAAUAAAACAUCUUGGAACUUGUAAUGUGAACCAGUGGAGAAAAGAUGAUUGAAGUUAAAAACAACUCUGCAGAAGCACAUUGGCAGCCCAUAGUGCUCCUGUGUGUAGUUAUAUGGGCUGUUUAUAUAAGAAACCUCAGAGUAUAAAGCACAAUUACAAAACACUGUUCCAGUUUUCCAUAAGCACAGAUGCAGUGGGAAAGCAGGCUGCUUUCAAGACCAUGCCCAAGUUCCAUAUUGGGAAUUGUGUAAGAUUUUUAAAAACCUGCCCUCUGACUUAGGACCUAAGAUGAAUAUUCUGAAAGUGUAGUUUACUGUCAAACAGCAUCAAAAUAAGGUGCUUGUUAAAAGUGAAGAUUCUUGAGUCUUAGUCAAGACCGAUUAAAUCAGAAUGUCUAGGGGAUGGUUUGGGAUCUGCAUUUUUUAACAAGUUCUCCAGGUGACUGAUAACGCAACACUAAAGUCUGAAAACAACUGACUUAGAGAAAAUAUUGGAUACUUUAGAAUAUUAAUUCCUUAGUCUCUCAUUUUGAUGUUCCUAAGUCCCAACUUUUGCUUUUCCGCCCUUGAUCACUUGGAAUCAAAAAAGAAGGUUCAGGUUUUUAGCAAAUUACAGUGAAACACAUUAAGAUGUGGAGGACUGAUCCAAGUGAGCUCAGUGUUCAUGUCCAUUAUGGGUCCAGCUCAUCAACCGUAUUGAGGUUUAAGGUGCAGUGGAUAUCUCUGUCAACGGAUGGAGAUGAGGGUCAGUGGAACUCUGAAAAAGGUGAAAGCAGACCAAACAAGCUGUUGAAACAAGUUUUUAGAACAAAGUUACAGGUGAAAAAAAGUAUUAAAUAACAGAGGUUCUUAUAAUAAGCUGUGUGUCCUGGCCUAUUGACUCUGCACCAAUUAUUUUUACUAGCAAGAUAGAGAAUGAAUAAGGCAUGUGGAUUUCAAUUUCCAGCUAUAGCUAUUGUGUGGGUUCUUGAAAGUCUUCAUGGGCAAUACCAGCUUAUGCAAUGACCCUCCAGAGCUGGUGCUCUAUGUAUUUAUUUCCAGCUGAUAACUUUAAGAAUUGAAAGAACAAAACAAGGUGAUGAAUAUACAAACAAUCAAGACUAAAAUAAUAGAUCUGUAGCUACUUUAAAAAGUAGCAUGGGGCCGGCUCCGUGGCCGAGUGGUUAAGUUGGCGUGCUCCACUGCGGCAGCCCAGGGUUCGGAUCCUGGGCGCGGACACGGCACCACUCAUCAGGCCACGUUGAGGCGGCGUCCCACAUCCCACAACUAGAAAGACCGGCAACAAAGAUAUUCAACUGCGUACAGGAGGGGGUUGGGGAGAUAAAGCAGGGGGGAAAAACAAGAGAUUGGCAACAGUUGUUAGCCCAGGUGCCAAGCCUUAAAAAAAAAAAAAAAAAAAGUAGCAUAAUAUUGCUUAAGGUACUUAGUUAUCAUAUUGAGUUUUAAAUGAUGUCUUUUUAAACUAAUCAUCCUGAAGUAUAACCGGAAUAUGUAUAAAACUUUUAGACUAAAACUGCCAUACUUUUGUUCUACACAGUUUUGUUAAAUUAAGAGCUCAGAUUAAUAUACUCUAAGAGGUAUGACAUAAAGGUAUAAUGAACACUUUCUGAAUGUUAUAGUACCAAGAGUAACAAUAAAUAAUGAGAGUCAAGAGUAGUGGUUAUUUUUAUUUCUUGGAAAAGCAUUAAAAUUAAAAUUAAAUUCAGUUUAUUAGAAGCAAAACUUGUUAUUAAAGUUUCAGUGCUAAAAACAUGACCAUGAAAUAGUAUGUAUUAAAUAUUCUUAUUCUGUAAAGUGAGUCUCUAUGGCUGCUUUUCAAAGAAAGAGAUCUACAGACAAGGAGUAACUCCAGAAAUAAAGGAAGGUAGAACCAACCAGACAGGAGAAUUUGAGAUGCUCAACAGUUAACUCCUUGGCCUCUCAAGAUCUCUGUCCUCACACGGAAUUCCGCACGUGGUGUAUACUUCCACACAUUCCAUGUCAGAUUACCUGUUUCUAAAACUAAAGAAAAAUUAACUUUUUUUCCUUAGUAGUAAAAUAAUUAAAAUGUGUUGAGUGUCUCCUCCUACAUAUACAUCAGGAAUUUUACAGACACUAACUUUUUAGAUAUGAAGUAAGAAUCAUCUGGCUAAAAAAUAUCGUUUUUUUAAUCUCAAGAAUCCUGGGGGUUAGUAUUACUAUCCUCAUUUUGCAAUUGAGAAAAAUCAUGGCUCAAAGGGUAAAUGAUUUUGUCCAAGAACACGCAGACAGGUGAACACCAGUGGUGAGAUCUGAACAUAGGUUUUAUUUUGAAGCCCAUGCUUUGCCCACUAUGAUAGGCCUUCCGUGAAUCUGUGGACUCAAUGACGUAUACAUUGUGACUGCUUUAAGGAGCCAUGUGUGCAGGCCCAGCACAGCUGUUUAUUUCCUUAUUGUUACUUGUGAGUCAGGGUUUAACCAAAACCAUUUGUAAUGGGGAAAAUAUAAUUAUUUGACAUCUCUCUUGGAUGAUAAAAGUCAGGGUGGAGUUUCAAAAAUAUGUACUGAGGCCCUACUAUGUGUCAGGCUCUGGGGAUACAGAGGUUGAACAAGAUAAACAAGGUCCCUAACCCCAAAGGAGCUUACAUUCUAAUGUGGAACACAAAGGCACUAAACAAGUCAACAGAUGUCUUUCACGUGGUGACCAAUGUUUUGAAAAAAUAAAGCAGGGUACAGGGAGCUACUUCAGAUAGUGUGGUCAAGGAAGGCUUCUCUGGGGAGCUGUCCUCACUGAGACCCAAAUGAUGAGCAAGAGGCAGACAAGCUACGAGGCAGGAAUAUCCAGGGUGUGUUGAAGGAACAGACAGCAAGGCCAGUGUGGUUAAAAUGGAGUGACUCAGAGCAUGGGAAGAGAGAGGUCAGGGAGGUGAGCAGGGCCAUGUCAUGGAAACCCACAUCCAAGGAAGGGCACACAUCCGUAGCAAUACAUGGAGGAGUGGCAUGCAGGUGGCCAUGGCUGCUGUCAGACAAGAGAGAUGGCAAUAUGUUGGCAUAGCAGGUUCUCAGUUCAACAGCUAUGCCAGCAUCUUGCCUCCUCUCCAGUUCCAAGUUACAGGAGCAACAUCAUGCCUCUUCAGUGUUUCACUUUUCCAAAAUCUUCCCUUCCACCUGAGGGGGGGAAAACACACUCAUUAAUU
Equus asinus (donkey) is the source of this 4316-nucleotide long non-coding RNA. The record is from Ensembl. NCBI's taxonomy places the organism in Eukaryota, Metazoa, Chordata, Mammalia, Perissodactyla, Equidae.